Molecule: unclassified non-coding RNA, 390 nt
Filed under: Hevea brasiliensis (rubber tree)
Lineage: Eukaryota; Viridiplantae; Streptophyta; Magnoliopsida; Malpighiales; Euphorbiaceae
Source: RNAcentral
CUCUCUCUCUUUCACACACACACAUUUGUGUACAAUCAUGGUGUGCACUGCUUCCCAUCUGCUGACGAAUAUUUCAUGCAUGUCAGGCAGCAUCAGAAUGGCUCUAUGUUUGUCCUUGGGGACUUCGGAAGGUUCUCAAUUACAUAGUCCAGAGAUACAAUAAUCCCAUAAUUUAUGUUACUGAGAAUGGUAAGGGAAUAAUCACUUAUCCUGCAAUUAGAUUCUGUAGUUAAAAUGUUGCUUUGAGAUGGCAGGUCACUAUUUUGAGAAAUUGCUUUAUGCUUUGGGAUCUACAAUUCAAGAUAGUAAAAGUUUCCAACUACCGUACAAUGGCAUUCAUUCUCUCUGAAUCCUCAUUCCACACCAUUUGACAGGUAUGGAUGAUGAAGA